GCAUAGGUAGCACAGUGGAUAGUGUGCUAGACUUGGAAUCAAGACUCAUCUUGACACUUACUGCCUGUGCA
This 71-nucleotide transfer RNA is filed under the name Monodelphis domestica (gray short-tailed opossum). It matches the Rfam family "tRNA". Rfam says of the family: Transfer RNA (tRNA) molecules are approximately 80 nucleotides in length. Their secondary structure includes four short double-helical elements and three loops (D, anti-codon, and T loops). Lineage: Eukaryota; Metazoa; Chordata; Mammalia; Didelphimorphia; Didelphidae. The record is from Rfam by way of RNAcentral.